This 1509-nucleotide ribosomal RNA is filed under the name uncultured bacterium. RNAcentral's name for it is "bacterial SSU rRNA". It matches the Rfam family "Bacterial small subunit ribosomal RNA". The record is from RNAcentral.
UAGAGUUUGAUCAUGGCUCAGGAUGAACGCUAGCGACAGGCUUAACACAUGCAAGUCGAGGGGCAGCGGGGAGGUAGCAAUACUUCCGCCGGCGACCGGCGCACGGGUGAGUAACACGUAUGGAACCUGCCCGUAGCAGGGGGAUAAGCGGAAGAAAUUCCGUCUAAUACCGCGUAAUAACUCCGAGAGGCAUCUCCUGGGGUUUAAAGGGUAACACCGGCUACGGAUGGCCAUGCGGCGCAUUAGCUAGUUGGCGGGGUAACGGCCCACCAAGGCGACGAUGCGUAGGGGUUCUGAGAGGAAGGUCCCCCACACUGGUACUGAGACACGGACCAGACUCCUACGGGAGGCAGCAGUGAGGAAUAUUGGUCAAUGGGCGCGAGCCUGAACCAGCCAAGUCGCGUGAGGGAAGACGGUCCUAUGGAUUGUAAACCUCUUUUGUCGGGGAGCAAAAGACGCCACGCGUGGCGUUCCGAGAGUACCCGAAGAAAAAGCAUCGGCUAACUCCGUGCCAGCAGCCGCGGUAAUACGGAGGAUGCGAGCGUUAUCCGGAUUUAUUGGGUUUAAAGGGUGCGCAGGCGGAAGAUCAAGUCAGCGGUAAAAUUGAGAGGCUCAACCUCUUCGAGCCGUUGAAACUGGUUUUCUUGAGUGAGCGAGAAGUAUGCGGAAUGCGUGGUGUAGCGGUGAAAUGCAUAGAUAUCACGCAGAACUCCGAUUGCGAAGGCAGCAUACCGGCGCUCAACUGACGCUCAUGCACGAAAGUGUGGGUAUCGAACAGGAUUAGAUACCCUGGUAGUCCACACAGUAAACGAUGAAUACUAAUUGUUCGGGGAGAAUGAUCCCUGAGUGAUACAGCGAAAGCGUUAAGUAUUCCACCUGGGGAGUACGCCGGCAACGGUGAAACUCAAAGGAAUUGACGGGGGCCCGCACAAGCGGAGGAACAUGUGGUUUAAUUCGAAGCAACGCGAAGAACCUUACCUGAUCUUGACAUCCCGAUGACCGGGACUUAAUCGUCCCUUCUCUACGGAGCAUCGGAGACAGGUGGUGCAUGGUUGUCGUCAGCUCGUGUCGUGAGAUGUUGGGUUAAGUCCCGCAACGAGCGCAACCCCUAUCUUCAGUAGCCAGCACGAAAGGUGGGCACUCUGGAGAGACUGCCAGGGACAACCUGGAGGAAGGUGGGGAUGACGUCAAAUCAUCAUGCCCCUUAUGACCAGGGCUACACACGUGCUACAAUGGCGUAAACAAAGGGAAGCGACCACGUGAGUGUAAGCGAAUCCCAAAAAUAACGUCUCAGUUCGGAUUGUAGUCUGCAACUCGACUACAUGAAGCUGGAAUCGCUAGUAAUCGCGAAUCAGAAUGUCGCGGUGAAUACGUUCCCGGGUCUUGUACACACCGCCCGUCACACCAUGGGAGUCAGUAACGCCCGAAGCCGGUGACCCAACCGAACAGGAGGGAGCCGUCGAAGGUGGGACCGAUAACUGGGGUGAAGUCGUAACAAGGUAGCCGUAA